Molecule: ribosomal RNA, 273 nt
Filed under: uncultured bacterium
Lineage: Bacteria
Description: partial 16S ribosomal RNA
Rfam family: Bacterial small subunit ribosomal RNA
Source: RNAcentral
UACUUUGGUGGCGACCGGCGCACGGGUGCGUAACGCGUAUGUAACCUACCUAUAACAGGGGCAUAACACUGAGAAAUUGGUACUAAUUCCCCAUAAUAUUCGGAGAGGCAUCUCUCCGGGUUGAAAACUCCGGUGGUUAUAGGUGGACAUGCGUUGUAUUAGCUAGUUGGUGAGGUAACGGCUCACCAAGGCAACGAUACAUAGGGGGACUGAGAGGUUAACCCCCCACACUGGUACUGAGACACGGACCAGACUCCUACGGGAGGCAGCAUG